UACGUAGGGUGCGAGCGUUGUCCGGAAUUAUUGGGCGUAAAGAGCUUGUAGGCGGUUUGUCGCGUCUGCUGUGAAAAUCCGGGGCUCAACCCCGGACUUGCAGUGGGUACGGGCAGACUAGAGUGUGGUAGGGGAAACUGGAAUUCCUGGUGUAGCGGUGGAAUGCGCAGAUAUCAGGAGGAACACCGAUGGCGAAGGCAGUUCUCUGGGCCGUAACUGACGCUGAGGAGCGAAAGCGUGGGGAGCGAACAGG
This 253-nucleotide ribosomal RNA is filed under the name uncultured bacterium. RNAcentral's name for it is "partial 16S ribosomal RNA". It matches the Rfam family "Bacterial small subunit ribosomal RNA", at positions 524 to 776 of the family's 1533-position model. The record is from RNAcentral.